GCGGGUGUGGCGGAAUUGGUAGACGCACCAGAUUUAGGUUCUGGCGCCUAUGGCGUGGAGGUUCGAGUCCUCUCACCCGUACCA
This 84-nucleotide transfer RNA is filed under the name Pelagimonas varians. RNAcentral's name for it is "tRNA-Leu". It matches the Rfam family "tRNA". Rfam says of the family: Transfer RNA (tRNA) molecules are approximately 80 nucleotides in length. Their secondary structure includes four short double-helical elements and three loops (D, anti-codon, and T loops). The record is from RNAcentral. Lineage: Bacteria; Pseudomonadati; Pseudomonadota; Alphaproteobacteria; Rhodobacterales; Roseobacteraceae.